Non-coding RNA from Acanthosepion pharaonis, 97 nucleotides. Lineage: Eukaryota; Metazoa; Mollusca; Cephalopoda; Sepiida; Sepiidae. The record is from the annotation of a GenBank genome assembly.
GUUAAAACACCGGUUCCUGUAUGAUCACUGAAGUUAAGCAACAUUGAGCUUAGUCAGUUCCUAGAUAGGUGACUGCUUUGGAAUACCAGGUCCUGUA